Molecule: ribosomal RNA, 148 nt
Filed under: Onchocerca gibsoni
Lineage: Eukaryota; Metazoa; Nematoda; Chromadorea; Rhabditida; Onchocercidae
Description: partial 5.8S ribosomal RNA
Rfam family: 5.8S ribosomal RNA
About the family: 5.8S ribosomal RNA (5.8S rRNA) is a component of the large subunit of the eukaryotic ribosome. It is transcribed by RNA polymerase I as part of the 45S precursor that also contains 18S and 28S rRNA.
Source: RNAcentral
AGCGGUGGAUCACUUGGCUCGUGGAUCGAUGAAGAACGCAGCUAGCUGCGAUAAAUAGUGCGAAUUGCAGACGCAUUGAGCACAAAGAUUUCGAACGCACAAUGCACCAUCGGGUUGAUUCCCGAUGGUACGUCUGGUUGAGGGUCAA